AACGAACGCUGGCGGCAUGCCUAACACAUGCAAGUCGAACGAGACCUUCGGGUCUAGUGGCGCACGGGUGCGUAACGCGUGGGAGCCUGCCCUUAGGUUCGGAAUAACUCCCCGAAAGGGGUGCUAAUACCGGAUAAUGUCUUCGGACCAAAGAUUUAUCGCCUUUGGAUGGGCCCGCGUUGGAUUAGCUAGUUGGUAGGGUAAAAGCCUACCAAGGCGACGAUCCAUAGCUGGUCUGAGAGGAUGAUCAGCCACACUGGGACUGAGACACGGCCCAGACUCCUACGGGAGGCAGCAGUGGGGAAUAUUGGACAAUGGGCGAAAGCCUGAUCCAGCAAUGCCGCGUGAGUGAUGAAGGCCUUAGGGUUGUAAAGCUCUUUUACCCGGGAUGAUAAUGACAGUACCGGGAGAAUAAGCGCCGGCUAACUCCGUG
RNAcentral lists this ribosomal RNA (433 nucleotides) under uncultured bacterium. RNAcentral's name for it is "partial 16S ribosomal RNA". It matches the Rfam family "Bacterial small subunit ribosomal RNA", at positions 29 to 507 of the family's 1533-position model. The record is from RNAcentral.